RNAcentral lists this ribosomal RNA (568 nucleotides) under uncultured fungus. RNAcentral describes it as "eukaryotic LSU rRNA". The stretch from base 209 to 362 matches the Rfam family "5.8S ribosomal RNA". The record is from RNAcentral. Lineage: Eukaryota; Fungi.
UUUAGAGGAAGUAAAAGUCGUAACAAGGUCUCCGUUGGUGAACCAGCGGAGGGAUCAUUACCGAGUUUACAACUCCCAAACCCCUGUGAACAUACCUAUACGUUGCCUCGGCGGAUCAGCCCGCGCCCUGUAAAACGGGACGGCCCGCCCGAGGACCCUAAACUCUGUUUUUAGUGGAACUUCUGAGUAAAACAAACAAAUAAAUCAAAACUUUCAACAACGGAUCUCUUGGUUCUGGCAUCGAUGAAGAACGCAGCAAAAUGCGAUAAGUAAUGUGAAUUGCAGAAUUCAGUGAAUCAUCGAAUCUUUGAACGCACAUUGCGCCCGCCAGUAUUCUGGCGGGCAUGCCUGUUCGAGCGUCAUUUCAACCCUCAAGCUCAGCUUGGUGUUGGGACUCGCGGUAACCCGCGUUCCCCAAAUCGAUUGGCGGUCACGUCGAGCUUCCAUAGCGUAGUAAUCAUACACCUCGUUACUGGUAAUCGUCGCGGCCACGCCGUUAAACCCCAACUUCUGAAUGUUGACCUCGGAUCAGGUAGGAAUACCCGCUGAACUUAAGCAUAUCAAUAAG